This is a long non-coding RNA of Cyprinodon tularosa, 102 nucleotides long. RefSeq lists it as uncharacterized. NCBI's taxonomy places the organism in Eukaryota, Metazoa, Chordata, Actinopteri, Cyprinodontiformes, Cyprinodontidae. The transcript is spliced from 2 exons. The record is from RefSeq and is a predicted model, not a curated record.
GCUGAGGGGCCAGAAACUUCAAAGUAAUAACUCAGGUUAAAGCAGGAAACUAAGCUGAACCAUAACGAGGUGCCAGCAGCACCUCUAGAAGAAUAGGGGUGA